RNAcentral lists this ribosomal RNA (253 nucleotides) under uncultured bacterium. RNAcentral's name for it is "partial 16S ribosomal RNA". It matches the Rfam family "Bacterial small subunit ribosomal RNA", at positions 524 to 776 of the family's 1533-position model. The record is from RNAcentral.
UACGUAGGGCGCAAGCGUUGUCCGGAAUUAUUGGGCGUAAAGAGCUCGUAGGCGGCUUGUCACGUCGAUUGUGAAAGCCCGAGGCUUAACCUCGGGUCUGCAGUCGAUACGGGCUAGCUAGAGUGUGGUAGGGGAGAUCGGAAUUCCUGGUGUAGCGGUGAAAUGCGCAGAUAUCAGGAGGAACACCGGUGGCGAAGGCGGAUUUCUGGGCCAUUACUGACGCUGAGGAGCGAAAGCGUGGGGAGCGAACAGG